RNAcentral lists this ribosomal RNA (340 nucleotides) under uncultured bacterium. RNAcentral describes it as "partial 16S ribosomal RNA". It matches the Rfam family "Bacterial small subunit ribosomal RNA", at positions 355 to 684 of the family's 1533-position model. The record is from RNAcentral.
UAGGGAAUCUUCCACAAUGGACGCAAGUCUGAUGGAGCAACGCCGCGUGAGUGAAGAAGGCUUUCGGGUCGUAAAACUCUGUUAUUGAAGAAGAACGUGUGUGACAGUAACUGGUCAUGCAGUGACGGUAUUCAAUCAGAAAGUCACGGCUAACUACGUGCCAGCAGCCGCGGUAAUACGUAGGUGGCAAGCGUUGUCCGGAUUUAUUGGGCGUAAAGCGAGUGCAGGCGGUCUUUUAAGUCUGAUGUGAAAGCCUUCGGCUUAACCGAAGAAGGGCAUCGGAAACUGGGAGACUUGAGUGCAGAAGAGGGAGAGUGGAACUCCAUGUGUGAGCAGGUGA